This 592-nucleotide ribosomal RNA is filed under the name Ogma octangularis. RNAcentral's name for it is "SSU rRNA". It matches the Rfam family "Eukaryotic small subunit ribosomal RNA", at positions 1024 to 1643 of the family's 1831-position model. Lineage: Eukaryota; Metazoa; Nematoda; Chromadorea; Rhabditida; Criconematidae. The record is from RNAcentral.
UUCUGACCGUAAACGAUGCCAACUAGCGAUCCGCCGGCGGCUUCUCGGCCCUGGUGGGGAGCUUUCCGGAAACGAAAGUCUUCCGGUUCCGGGGGAAGUAUGGUUGCAAAGCUGAAACUUAAAGGAAUUGACGGAAGGGCACCACCAGGAGUGGAGCCUGCGGCUUAAUUUGACUCAACACGGGAAAACUCACCCGGCCCGGACACCGUGAGGAUUGACAGAUUGAUAGCUUUUUCAUGAUUCGGUGGUUGGUGGUGCAUGGCCGUUCUUAGUUCGUGGAUCGAUUUGUCUGGUUUAUUCCGAUAACGAGCGAGACUCCAGCCUACUAACUAGUGCGGGCAUUGCUUCUGUGCUUGUCACUUCUUAGAGGGAUUGGCUGCGCCUAGCGGCACGAAACGGAGCAAUAACAGGUCUGUGAUGCCCUUAGAUGUCCGGGGCUGCACGCGCGCUACACUGGCAAAGGCAGCGUGCUUGUCCGCCUCCGAAAGGAGCCGGUAAACCCUUGAAAAUUUGCCGUGAUUGGGAUCGGAAAUUGCAAUUAUUUUCCGUGAACGAGGAAUUCCUAGUAAGUGCGAGUCAUCAGCUCGCGUUG